Molecule: non-coding RNA, 137 nt
Filed under: Levilactobacillus brevis
Lineage: Bacteria; Bacillati; Bacillota; Bacilli; Lactobacillales; Lactobacillaceae
Description: Lactobacillus brevis TPP sequence
Rfam family: TPP riboswitch aptamer (THI element)
About the family: Vitamin B(1) in its active form thiamin pyrophosphate (TPP) is an essential coenzyme that is synthesised by coupling of pyrimidine and thiazole moieties in bacteria.
Source: RNAcentral
AUAUUUCGUCUGGGGUGCCUGAACGUGUCUAAGUAAAUGAUUAAGAUCAUUUAUUACCACGUUCGUAAAGGCUGAGAUAAUACCCAUCGAACCUGAUGCAGUUUGUACUGUCGAAGGAAGAGCGAACCGGAAAAUUG